UCCGAUCUGGACUGGUCUGGAAAUGAUAUCGGCUUUAACCGUUUCCGAGUUUUAGAACCUUGGUGGCCUGUUGUUCUUCUUCAUCUUCAAAAGUGAGAUCUAAUCUAUGAGCAUUCAGAAACAGAUCCGAGUGCUCUUGUUCUCUCGUUAAGUCGUUAUUGAUUUUCUUCUUCUUACUGUUGUUGAUCUGCAACUCGUCCUUGCAAACACGUUCUUUGAUUGCUUCCAUUCUUUUCUUUCUUCAGAUUAGGAUUAUUUCGACAGGAGUUGCGGGUUAAAUUCAGUCUCCAGCAAGCAUGUGGUCAUGCUUUAAAUUACCCAACAAUGGAAGAAACCGAACAGAAAAUGGAUCUAGAACAAGACUUGAGAAGAAAGACCCAGAACAGGAACAAUUUAGAUUCUUAAAGGGAAGAACAGAAGAGGAAUCAUUCAUGUUGGAAAAUGGAGGUCGGAUAUUAGAAGAGCUAAUCUCUUCCUUUGGUGGCAAAUCAACUCCCUUUCGUACCUUCUCCAAGCAAGAACUCCAGAUUGCAACCAACAAUUAUCCUCAAGACGGAGUUCUUCACAGUGAUUUGACCUAUAAAUUGUAUAAAGGAACCCUAGAAAAUCGUGAAAUUUCGGUCAAGAGGUUUACUGAAGUUGAUGCUGAGAGAUAUAUCCACUGGUAUAUAAAUGAAUUCGCAGUCGCAUCUCAGAUGAAUCAUCACAAGCAUGUUUUGAAACUCUUGGGUUGUUGCUUAGAGACCCAAGUUCCUACACUGGUGUAUGAAUUUGCAGAGAAUGGAGAUCUGUCUGAUCAUAUUUACGAGAAAUUGGAGCUCCCUUCGAAGCAUCAUCCACCAUUAACGUGGGAUAACAGGUUAAGGAUUGCGACUGAGGUAGCAGAUGCGAUAACCUAUCUCCACACAGGUACUUCUAAGCCCAUCAUCCACAGGGAAAUCAAACCCAGAAAUAUUUUCUUAGGUAAAAACUUUGCUGCAAAACUAUUUGAAUUUGGGCUCUCCAUUUCAAUUCCUUUGGGUGAAACACAUGUAGAAUCAGAGGUUGUUGGGUCUAUUGGGUUCAUUGAUCCUGAAGCUGUCUCCACUGAGAGGUUUACAGAGAAGAGCGAUGUUUAUAGUUUUGGGGGUGUAUUGCUUGAAAUUUUGACAGGUAGGAGGGUUCGUCAUAUAUUCGAGGAGGUGUUUGAGGGUGUGCCAGGAUCUUACCGGGCUGAACAAUUGAUGAAUUUAAAGGAUUCCAAAUAUACUGUUAUGGACCAAGAAAAUGAUCUCGAAAGGUACUUAAAGAGAAAUAUUUUGAAGGAAAAAAACAGAGAGCAGUUAAUGGCAUGUGCAGAGCUUGCUCUGAAAUGUGUCAAAGUGAAUCCUGGGGAAAGGCCUACUAUGAUGGAAGUGGCAUAUGAGCUCAGAAGAAUCAAAGGUAUUCAACACUCUUCAGAAUGAUGCAAAGAAAUAUUUGUUGUUUUUCCAUUCUAUGUUCUUGUACAAAGCAAGGGAAAAGAUUUUGCAAUAUCCAUUCCCUGCAGGAACUUUCUUUGAUUUGGUUUCUUUAGCCCUAGCAGAACACACAAAAUAGCUGCAGGUGAUCAGAUGUUUAAUGGGAUGGCUAGUGAGUCCAAUGGAUGCAUUUCUUUGACCUGAGAAAGAUUGUAAUUAACUGUAAAGGGAAUUUAUUUUGGGAGAGGAGUUGCAUUAAUGCUUGAGUUGGGGGUUGAUAGUGCCAAUUAGUCCCUUUGUUCUGGAUGUGGUCAAAGGAAGAAAUCUGCGAUACGUGCUGUAGACUGUCAUCUAUCAUCUUUUUCUCAAUUUAGCAUCACCUCUAGAAUCUUUACACAUCAUAAAAUGGUCACUUUUGAUUAAGGCUAAGGUGGCUUUGAAUUCCUGGAUUUUUUUUUUUUUUAAAUAGGUGGAAUUUAAAAGUUCUGUUUAGAUGAUUAGAUCUAACAAAUCAGAACUAUUGGUUGAGGUUGAGGAUGAAAUGAAUGUUGACCAAUUGGUUGAGCAGAAUGGAAAGGAUUCCAAAUAUACUGCUAUGGACAGUGAAAAUGAUCUAAAGGUACUUAAAGGCAAAUAUCUUGAAGGAAAGAAACGGAGAGCAGUUACUGGGCAGAGCUUCCUCUGAAAUGUGUCAAAAUGUAUCCUAAGGAAAGGUCUACUAUGAUGGAAGUGACAUAUGACCUCAGAAGAAUUAAAGAAGCAUGGAACUGCCCUUGACUAGACAUUCAAUCCAUAUACUGAUGCCUACUUCGGGAGAAAUUACAAAACAUGGAAUUGCUUUUUCAAUAAGAAGUUCAUGCUCUGAUGCAUAAUUGGGAAUACAUGGUAUGCUUCUUGGUCUAAUUCAAGCUAAGGCGAGGUGUUAGAUCUGCUUUUGUUCUAUCCUUUCAUCAAAGCAAUCUUGUUUCAGCCUCACUUAUACUAUGACCUCAGUGGCAAAAUCAAUUCAUUGAGGAGUGGGUUUUCUUCUAUCUCCAGUCCCCAUAUAACAACAAGAAGGAUUGUUCUGCAUUCUAUUAUGGCUUUACAGUCUUAUACAAUUUCUGGAAGGCUAGAUGU
Macadamia integrifolia is the source of this 2558-nucleotide RNA transcript. It is a transcript of the gene named non-functional pseudokinase ZED1-like, with no coding region annotated. Lineage: Eukaryota; Viridiplantae; Streptophyta; Magnoliopsida; Proteales; Proteaceae. The transcript is spliced from 2 exons. The record is from RefSeq and is a predicted model, not a curated record.